CACGGGGGGAGCAAGCGUUGUUCGGAAUCACUGGGCGUAAAGGGCGUGUAGGCGGUCAAGUAAGUGGAAUGUGAAAGCCCCCGGCUCACCCGGGGAUCUGCAUCCCAAACUGCUUGGCUUGAGUACGGGAGAGGAUAGGGGAAUUCCUGGUGUAGCGGUGAAAUGCGUAGAUAUCUGGAGGAAUACCGGUGGCGAAGGCGGCAUCCUGGACCGAGAUUGACGCUGAUGAGCGAAAGCUAGGGGAGCAAACGGG
RNAcentral lists this ribosomal RNA (253 nucleotides) under uncultured bacterium. RNAcentral's name for it is "partial 16S ribosomal RNA". It matches the Rfam family "Bacterial small subunit ribosomal RNA", at positions 524 to 776 of the family's 1533-position model. The record is from RNAcentral.